GAAGAACCUUACCUACUCUUGACAUCCAGAGAAUUCGCUAGAGAUAGCUUAGUGCCUUCGGGAACUCUGAGACAGGUGCUGCAUGGCUGUCGUCAGCUCGUGUUGUGAAAUGUUGGGUUAAGUCCCGCAACGAGCGCAACCCUUAUCCUUUGUUGCCAGCACGUAAUGGUGGGAACUCAAAGGAGACUGCCGGUGAUAAACCGGAGGAAGGUGGGGAUGACGUCAAGUCAUCAUGGCCCUUACGAGUAGGGCUACACACGUGCUACAAUGGCGUAUACAAAGAGAAGCGAACUCGCGAGAGCAAGCGGACCUCAUAAAGUACGUCGUAGUCCGGAUCGGAGUCUGCAACUCGACUCCGUGAAG
This 363-nucleotide ribosomal RNA is filed under the name Serratia liquefaciens. RNAcentral's name for it is "bacterial SSU rRNA". It matches the Rfam family "Bacterial small subunit ribosomal RNA", at positions 963 to 1325 of the family's 1533-position model. Lineage: Bacteria; Pseudomonadati; Pseudomonadota; Gammaproteobacteria; Enterobacterales; Yersiniaceae. The record is from RNAcentral.